RNAcentral lists this ribosomal RNA (429 nucleotides) under Bacteroidota bacterium. RNAcentral's name for it is "Bacteroidetes bacterium partial 16S ribosomal RNA". It matches the Rfam family "Bacterial small subunit ribosomal RNA", at positions 355 to 776 of the family's 1533-position model. The record is from RNAcentral. Lineage: Bacteria; Pseudomonadati; Bacteroidota.
UAGGGAAUCUUCGGCAAUGGGGGGAACCCUGACCGAGCAACGCCGCGUGAGUGAAGAAGGUUUUCGGAUCGUAAAGCUCUGUUGUUAAGGAAGAACGAGUGUGAGAAUGGAAAGUUCAUGCUGUGACGGUACUUAACCAGAAAGGGACGGCUAACUACGUGCCAGCAGCCGCGGUAAUACGUAGGUCCCGAGCGUUGUCCGGAUUUAUUGGGCGUAAAGCGAGCGCAGGCGGUUAGAAAAGUCUGAAGUGAAAGGCAGUGGCUCAACCAUUGUAGGCUUUGGAAACUGUUUAACUUGAGUGCAGAAGGGGAGAGUGGAAUUCCAUGUGUAGCGGUGAAAUGCGUAGAUAUAUGGAGGAACACCGGUGGCGAAAGCGGCUCUCUGGUCUGUAACUGACGCUGAGGCUCGGAAGCGUGGGGAGCGAACAGG